RNAcentral lists this ribosomal RNA (536 nucleotides) under uncultured bacterium. Its description in RNAcentral is "bacterial SSU rRNA". It matches the Rfam family "Bacterial small subunit ribosomal RNA", at positions 355 to 896 of the family's 1533-position model. The record is from RNAcentral.
UGGGGAAUAUUGCGCAAUGGGCGGAAGCCUGACGCAGCGACGCCGCGUGGGGGAUGAAGCUUCUCGGAGUGUAAACCCCUUUCGACCCGGACGAAUGACCCGCAAGGGUUUGACGGUACGGGUAUAAGAAGCCCCGGCUAACUACGUGCCAGCAGCCGCGGUAAUACGUAGGGGGCCAGCGUUGCUCGGAAUUACUGGGCGUAAAGCGCGUGUAGGCGGUUAUCCAAGUCGGGUGUGAAAGCCUUGAGCUCAACUCAAGAAAUGCACUCGGUACUGGGUGACUAGAGGACCGGAGAGGAUAGUGGAAUUCCCAGUGUAGUGGUGAAAUACGUAGAGAUUGGGAAGAACACCAGUGGCGAAGGCGGCUAUCUGGACGGUUUCUGACGCUAAGACGCGAAAGCGUGGGGAGCAAACAGGAUUAGAUACCCUGGUAGUCCACGCCGUAAACGAUGGGUGCUAGACGUUGGCGAGCUUGCUCGUCAGUGUCGCAGCUAACGCGUUAAGCACCCCGCCUGGGGAGUACGGCCGCAAGGUUG